This 253-nucleotide ribosomal RNA is filed under the name uncultured bacterium. RNAcentral describes it as "partial 16S ribosomal RNA". It matches the Rfam family "Bacterial small subunit ribosomal RNA", at positions 524 to 776 of the family's 1533-position model. The record is from RNAcentral.
UACAGAGGGUGCAAGCGUUGUUCGGAAUUAUUGGGCGUAAAGGGCGCGUAGGCGGCGCGGUAAGUCACCUGUGAAAUCUCCGGGCUCAACUCGGAGCCUGCAGGCGAAACUGCUGUGCUUGAGUGUGGGAGAGGCGCGUGGAAUUGCAGGUGUAGCGGUGAAAUGCGUAGAUAUCUGCAGGAACACCCGUGGCGAAAGCGGCGCGCUGGACCACAACUGACGCUGAGGUGCGAAAGCGUGGGGAGCAAACAGG